AUACUUUACUUUUUGAAAUCAUUAAAUUCCUUUAAUGUAAUCACAUUAAGAUGUAAAAUUAUAAUGAGCAUAUGUUAAACACUCGCGAGUUAAAAGUCUUUAAUCGUUUAUGUGUCACUCAUCAUUAGUAUCCGCUUACACCUUAAGUAGCAGUGUUGUUAACUUUCUCAUGUUUAAGAGAAAAUCUCAGAUUUCGCAAGGCUAUUUGUGAAAGGAGCUUAAUUAUUAUGGUGUAGUUUCAUGACUAAAAUAUAUAUGUAUAUUGCAAAUAGUUAAGCCAAAACAGGUGCUACCGAUUAUAUACGCAAAGCUAGUUUCAUUUUACAAUGUAUCCCCACUAUUUUACUGGGCAUCCAAUCCGCAAUGAAUCCUGUUUUGGUAUUGAAUAGUCAGCCAAUUAGAGCAAUGAAAAUUUCUAUGUCGAACCUCGCUAACGGAUCAAGCUGCGGCCUAGAGGUGUGCAGAAGUAGGACCCAUUAUUGUACAUAUGUAUGUAUCGAUUACCACCAUAGGAACAGAAAGUAUUCUUUCACAGACGAAACUCUCACAAAGAAAUUUAUACACCAUGAACUUAGCUUCAACGCUAUAUAUUUAAAUGAUGGCAAUUGUUUUAAGUUGUUUGAACUGCAAGAAAAGUAAUGGUUUCGAACCUAUUAAUACACACGUGAGAUCCAUAUAAAAUUAGUUUUAAACUUCUAAAAGCAAUGUAUAUAUAUUAAACAUUAUUUUCUAAAAUAA
Molecule: non-coding RNA, 738 nt
Organism: Megalopta genalis
Lineage: Eukaryota; Metazoa; Arthropoda; Insecta; Hymenoptera; Halictidae
Source: RefSeq, a predicted model, not a curated record